RNAcentral lists this ribosomal RNA (640 nucleotides) under Microdon geijskesi. RNAcentral's name for it is "SSU rRNA". It matches the Rfam family "Eukaryotic small subunit ribosomal RNA", at positions 26 to 652 of the family's 1831-position model. The record is from RNAcentral. Lineage: Eukaryota; Metazoa; Arthropoda; Insecta; Diptera; Syrphidae.
AUUCGCCUUUGGUCUCAAAGAUUAAGCCAUGCAUGUCUAAGUACAACAAUAUUUAAAAGUGAAACCGCAAAGGCUCAUUAUAUCAGUUAUGGUUUAUUAGAUCAUUAACAGUUACUUGGAUAACUGUGGUAAUUCUAGAGCUAAUACAUGCAAUAUAAACAUGAACCUUAUGGAACAUGUGCUUUUAUUAGUCUAAAACCAAGCGAUUUUUUAUAAAAUCGUUAUAAUGGUUGAACUCUAGAUAAUUUGCCAAUCGUAUGGUCUUGUACCGACGAUAGAUCUUUUAAAUGUCUGCCCUAUCAACUAUUGAUGGUAGUAUUUAGGACUACCAUGGUUGCAACGGGUAACGGGGAAUCAGGGUUCGAUUCCGGAGAGGGAGCCUGAGAAACAGCUACCACAUCUAAGGAAGGCAGCAGGCGCGUAAAUUACCCACUCCCAGUUCGGGGAGGUAGUGACGAAAAAUAACAAUACAGGACUCAUAUCCGAGGCCCUGUAAUUGGAAUGAGUACACUUUAAAUCCUUUAACAAGGACCUAUUGGAGGGCAAGUCUGGUGCCAGCAGCCGCGGUAAUUCCAGCUCCAAUAGCGUAUAUUAAAGUUGUUGCGGUUAAAACGUUCGUAGUUGAAUUUGUGCUUCAUGC